GUGACUGCGUACCUUUUGUAUAAUGGGUCAGCGACUUAUAUUCUGUAGCAAGGUUAACCGAAUAGGGGAGCCGGAGGGAAACCGAGUCUUAAUUGGGCGUUAAGUUGCAGGGUAUAGACCCGAAACCCGGUGAUCUAGCCAUGGGCAGGUUGAAGGUUGGGUAACACUAACUGGAGGACCGAACCGACUAAUGUUGAAAAAUUAGCGGAUGACCUGUGGCUGGGGGUGAAAGGCCAAUCAAACCGGGAGAUAGCUGGUUCUCCCCGAAAGCUAUUUAGGUAGCGCCUCGUGAAUUCAUCUCCGGGGGUAGAGCACUGUUUCGGCUAGGGGGCCAUCCCGGCUUACCAACCCGAUGCAAACUGCGAAUACCGGAGAAUGUUAUCACGGGAGACACACGGCGGGUGCUAACGUCCGUCGUGAAGAGGGAAACAACCCAGACCGCCAGCUAAGGUCCCAAAGUCAUGGUUAAGUGGGAAACGAUGUGGGAAGGCCCAGACAGCCAGGAUGUUGGCUUAGAAGCAGCCAUCAUUUAAAGAAAGCGUAAUAGCUCACUGGUCGAGUCGGCCUGCGCGGAAGAUGUAACGGGGCUAAACCAUGCACCGAAGCUGCGGCAGCGACACU
This 621-nucleotide ribosomal RNA is filed under the name Salmonella enterica subsp. enterica serovar Anatum. RNAcentral describes it as "partial 23S ribosomal RNA". It matches the Rfam family "Bacterial large subunit ribosomal RNA", at positions 593 to 1215 of the family's 2925-position model. The record is from RNAcentral. Lineage: Bacteria; Pseudomonadati; Pseudomonadota; Gammaproteobacteria; Enterobacterales; Enterobacteriaceae.